AUGGCCAAUGAGAAACAUGUCAAUUCAAAAGGCCAUGAAGUAAUAGAACUAUGCUGCAAAUCAGUGAAGGGUGUCAAAUUCUCAGAAGCAGAUGGUGUAAUUGGCAGUAAGACGCAGAGUUGUGAGCUACCCAAACAACAAAGUCUCUGCAAGCUGUUCUCGGAUGCUAUGGCUUCAUCGUCAUUCUCUUCGUCAACAUCAUCCACGUCCAUUGAAGGAGACAAAUGUGUAACUGCAGAAACUAGUAGUUCUGACAUGCCCAACAAAGCCUUCGCUAAGACUAAAGAAGCAAAUAAGCAUUGCGAUAACAAGUACUCUGCUGAGCCUAGUAACAGAGAGAUGUCUGCUCCAUUCAUUGAUCUGAAUAUGACACCACCAGAAUGUACUGAUUUAGGCUGCACCUACGAUUCAAAUUUAGAGGUGCCCAAUCUUGAGCAUAGACAUGAUGAAACUUUAAGUUCUGAUGCUGAAUUGCUCGCUGGUGGAGAAAACUUGAUGAAUUUAUCUUUUGGCUCACAGGGACUGGAAAGCCAACCACCUGCUUCUGACUUUGAAAAAAUAAAGAGUUCAAGAUGGGCAGGCACAUUUUUGAAUGGUGAGGCAAUCAAUGUUUCCGACAUAGAUGCUGUUGGUUCUCCACUGAGCUUAAGAGAACUCGCCGAGACUCGUUGGGGUUGCAGUAAUGUUUCAGUAAAUGAUACCAUGACUAUGAGUACAUAUCCUUGUGCAUUGCCAGACCAGACAUUUCAGGAUUCAUUUACGCAGCACAAGACUUGGUUCUCCAGAAAUCUGAAUAAUGUUGGCUCCCAGCUUUCUCGUGAAUGUAAUGUGUCUCACAGCACGGAGUUAUAUUCUCGUUCUGAGUUGAACGUGGGGCACGAGUGUAGUCCUUCUACGGGACAGACAGUUCGUUUGAUGGGUAAAGAUCUUACAGUUUGCACGACCAGAGGUGAAUCGUUUGCUGAAACUGCACAGAAACAUACAGGAACUUCCACCAAUGACUAUCUUAAGGCAAAUGUAUUAUUGCCACAAGGACAGCCUUUUUUCUCUUUACAAGCUCAAAGUUUCCCCAAUGUUGCGGUAAAUUCUACCAGAACAACUCAAGCUUCAACAUAUCAUGCAAGCACAAGUCACGCACAUUUUGGGUACAGGACUCCACAUGAUUUCAGUCACCCGUUUCCUGCAGCUAAUAUAUUUUCUGGAGAUCGAUUGCCAUAUGAAAGCAGGUAUGGUGGUUUUUCAAACUCACGGACCAAUCAGACUUUUCUAUUGGGGUGUCCACCUCUUCCGAAUCAUAGCAGUGCAGCAUUCCAUCAGAAUACACCGCGUCCUUGGCGUUAUUUCUCUGAUCCCUUCGCUGGGGAUGAACCACCUGCAGCACCAUUUUUGCCUGUAACCGGACAGCAAAGGACACCACCUUCAGUGUUCCAUGCCGAUUUACCUCGUCAACAUGUUGUGCAUUCAGCAAGGUCGUCGGUUUGCCCUCUUAACUCUGUGAGUUAUACACUCAGCCAUCCAGGCCAGGUAAUUCAAGAAGUUUCCAACAGCACAGGAGAUGCAGCCCUUCUGUCCAGAAAUACAGAGAACCGAAUGAGGAGAGCUGUUCCUGACAAUUCCAAUGCUUCUUCUAGUUGUCGCAGUGUGCAGAAGAGAUCAGGACCGGUGAAGCUCACUCCCGGCGCGAAGCAUAUACUGGUGCCAAGCGAUAGCACACAUGGCGAUUCUAUGCCUGUGUACUCCUGUUUAUCCUUCGGAAGUAGGAGCGGAAAUGCUGCAGGGUCUCAGAACAAAGGAGCAUGA
This 1800-nucleotide ribosomal RNA is filed under the name Triticum aestivum (bread wheat). RNAcentral describes it as "partial small subunit ribosomal RNA". Lineage: Eukaryota; Viridiplantae; Streptophyta; Magnoliopsida; Poales; Poaceae. The record is from RNAcentral.